UACGAAGGGGGCUAGCGUUGCUCGGAAUCACUGGGCGUAAAGGGUGCGUAGGCGGGUCUUUAAGUCAGGGGUGAAAUCCUGGAGCUCAACUCCAGAACUGCCUUUGAUACUGAGGAUCUUGAGUUCGGGAGAGGUGAGUGGAACUCCGAGUGUAGAGGUGAAAUUCGUAGAUAUUCGGAAGAACACCAGUGGCGAAGGCGACUCACUGGCCCGAUACUGACGCUGAGGCGCGAAAGCGUGGGGAGCAAACAGG
RNAcentral lists this ribosomal RNA (253 nucleotides) under uncultured bacterium. Its description in RNAcentral is "partial 16S ribosomal RNA". It matches the Rfam family "Bacterial small subunit ribosomal RNA", at positions 524 to 776 of the family's 1533-position model. The record is from RNAcentral.